RNAcentral lists this long non-coding RNA (1106 nucleotides) under Sinocyclocheilus grahami. Its description in RNAcentral is "lncRNA (ENSSGRG00000022971.1)". Lineage: Eukaryota; Metazoa; Chordata; Actinopteri; Cypriniformes; Cyprinidae. The record is from RNAcentral.
AUUAGAUAUGUGUGUGAUAUAAUCUUGUCAGCCAGCACCAUUGAUACUCUAACAAUAUUUUAACCCAUGCUGUGUGGAAUUUCUCUAGUAAAUGGAGUUAAACACUGUCAAAUACUUUAACAAGCAUGAAGAAUCACAGAUAAGUGUUUCCGGGGGACUAAAUUACUGCCGCACCGCGCCAAACUACAAACUAUAAAUAAAAACGCCUGUCAACUCCACCGCAAGAAAGAGAUAAAUAUCUAAAAUGCCUGUGAAGAGAGCCCUUCAGUUACAAGACAAAGAAAAUAGCCCAGCUAAGAGGCAAGCACCAAACAGGGACUAUUCCCCUAUGACUGGAACCCAAUUGAUGAGUCCCACGACAAAAACUGCAGCAGGUAAUUCCAGAGCAGGUGGGAAGAAAACGAAUACCCCUCAAACAAAAGAGCCCAUGACAGAUGCUGAGAGAAUUCUGUUCCUCAGGUCUAAGGUGAAAAAAUCAUUCAAGGACCUUAUGAAAUACAGGCAACAGCUGGAAGCAUUAGUGCCAGUAGAGGGCAGUAGUGAGCUGAGGAGUCUUCUGCUGAUGAGUCCUGCUGAUCUACAAACUGAACUCAAGAGACAUGAGAAUCUGUGUGCUAAAAUUGCAUCUUGUGCACAUAGAGCAGACACAAACAAGGGCCAUUUCCAAGGGUUGAAACAGACUGGGAGCUCUUAUGAAUUUCUGAAGGCAAUCUUAAGCCGCUGAGGGAUCGUUUCUUGAUGUACGACAUGGGCGGCUGUUCAAGUUGAGAAGAACAAGACCAACAUUUCAGAAUUCAGCAAUUUGGUCUGUUCGCUAUGGGCUAAGCUUUAGAAGAGUUUCAAGAUGUGUAACUAAGUACGGCAAGUACGGUUAAUAUUAGCACCAUCUAUUAAAAUUGUAUCAUGCACUCUGGUAUUGUGACUUGCUGUUUGUUCUAGAGUAUAUCAAGUAAGACAGUCAAACCAAAACCUGUUAAUUCUCCUCUCAUUCUGUGUCUGUGUGUGGCUCCAGACCUCGCUCAGGCUGUAACACAGUAGCCCCUUUGUGACCUGAUAACAUUUAUAGUUGUAAUGGAUUUUUUUUAAUGGCCGUCAUUAACUCGCAC